AUAAAAUGGGGCGCUGUCCCCUGAGUCCCUUCACUCUCAAUUUGUUUUUUUUCUUACUAAUAUCUUUAGUUUAAUAUUAAUAUGUAAAUUGAUUUCUUUUUUAUAAUUUUUAUUAUAAUAUGUAAAUUAAUUAGUGGACCAAGUAACGUUUCUUCUUUUUUUAGGUCCAAGUGAUUCUUGUACCCCCAUUUCACCUUUUC
This 200-nucleotide long non-coding RNA is filed under the name Lathyrus oleraceus (garden pea). Its description in RNAcentral is "Pisum sativum (pea) long non-coding RNA (PSAT_LNC000569)". Lineage: Eukaryota; Viridiplantae; Streptophyta; Magnoliopsida; Fabales; Fabaceae. The record is from RNAcentral.